GCCUGGUCAGUGGCGGGAGGUGAGGGAAAGAAAUUCAGCAAAGCACCCUUUGGUGGGGCUGCUCUAAGGAGCCAGCUUUGUUAUCUGCCUUGCUGCUGGUCUCAGAGAGGCUGCAGGGAAAUCUGCUGAUUUAUUUUCUUAAAUAGCAUCAAAUGAUGACAGUUAAGAGCCUACCACAAGAAAAUGGGCUCUUAGGGCAGCAUUACUUGUCUUGUGUACAAGGCUUUAUUGAAUUAACUUUGUACUAGAACCACUCUACACUUCCUUUGCUGGAGAGGACAAUCUAACUUAACUGCGGGAUAAAAUUUUACAACCAUAUUUUUGUUAUGCAGGUGACUUGCAUAAAACAUUCUUUACAUGCAUUAAUAUCAUCUGAGUUUUGCCAAGGCUAUAAAGCAGGAUGUCUCUCAGCCAUCUUAUCUCUGUCUUAAUGCUGCACUCAUCCCUGUGUUGAAAAAGGAUCGUUGAAACAGAAGAAUAGAAAUAAUCACUGGACCAUUUAAUGUAACCUUGUGUAUCACAUGAUGCAGGAGUUACUUAAUGAAAUUCCCUGGCCCAAACCAAGCAAAUCUGUGGUAAAUCCAGAGCACAUAUUUUCGGAUGACAGCCAAAACGAUGAAAGGAAUUUACUACCCAGCCUCGCUAAUAAUCAUUUUGAAUGCUUAACUGGGCUCCCUAAUAUGUUGCUUUGCAAGCAGCAAAACCGAUACAGCCUCAUUCCCUACACAUCGCUCUCCUCCAGCCUUGUCCAGGCCGUGCACCUGGAAAAACCUCCCAGCACACUGCCAGCCCUGUCCAGGGGCAGGGUGGCCAGCUGUGCCUGCUGUGAGUGCUGGAUGGCCAGCUGCCCACCUCUGGGAAGAGACCUCUGCAGGCCCGAACCUCUGCUGCCUCUCCCUCCACAGCAUGUGGGUUCGGGGGUUGCUCUUUGCUCAGCUUAUUUAAAAUUCUAGAGAAAAGAGUUCUGCCCCAUCAGCUUUGGAGAUAGUUGUUUAACAUGGUAGAGAACAAGCUGAGCCUGCGUAACCCAAGACAACCAAUUCCUUUAGCAGAAAGAGUGUCUUCUGUCAUCAAAAAGAGCCAUCUGGAAGAGCGUUGGCUCCCUGCCAGGAACAACCCUUUAGCAACCACUCGACAUGCACUUUAAGUUGUAAUGUUCAUAACGGCACAACCUGGAGUGUUGGUAAAGGGCCUAUUGGAGGAGCAACGUACUCCUCCUCCCGCAGUAACCGCAAAAGGAUGUUCUUCUUAUUCUUUGGCCAGUUAUAAAUGUGGGUGUUCUGCAGCCAGGUAGGCACGUGUUCCUGAAAAAAACAAGGAAAAUAAACACUAAAUCCUGUAAAUCCUCCUGAAUCUGUACCAGAACCUUGCAGAUUCUGUCAGACUCUGCCAAGCAAGAUUUCAUUUUGUCUGUUCUAGGCACUUCAUGUAACAACAAGAAAUUUUAAUUUGGCUUCAGAAUUGUAUUUGGGUUCCUAAAUAAAUGAACUUUGUGUGAUCUCACA
Long non-coding RNA from Empidonax traillii (willow flycatcher), 1505 nucleotides. RefSeq lists it as uncharacterized. The transcript is spliced from 3 exons. Lineage: Eukaryota; Metazoa; Chordata; Aves; Passeriformes; Tyrannidae. The record is from RefSeq and is a predicted model, not a curated record.